RNAcentral lists this ribosomal RNA (1195 nucleotides) under bacterium RA7P1. RNAcentral describes it as "bacterial SSU rRNA". It matches the Rfam family "Bacterial small subunit ribosomal RNA", at positions 28 to 1197 of the family's 1533-position model. The record is from RNAcentral.
GGAAAAUGAGGGGGCCGCUGUAUCAUAUCUAUUCGAGCGCACAAACGAGGAGCUUGCUCCUCUGAACGUUAGCGGCGGACGGGUGAGUAACACGUGGAUAACCUACCUAUAAGACUGGGAUAACUUCGGGAAACCGGAGCUAAUACCGGAUAAUAUAUUGAACCGCAUGGUUCAAUAGUGAAAGACGGUUUUGCUGUCACUUAUAGAUGGAUCCGCGCCGCAUUAGCUAGUUGGUAAGGUAACGGCUUACCAAGGCAACGAUGCGUAGCCGACCUGAGAGGGUGAUCGGCCACACUGGAACUGAGACACGGUCCAGACUCCUACGGGAGGCAGCAGUAGGGAAUCUUCCGCAAUGGGCGAAAGCCUGACGGAGCAACGCCGCGUGAGUGAUGAAGGUCUUCGGAUCGUAAAACUCUGUUAUUAGGGAAGAACAAAUGUGUAAGUAACUAUGCACGUCUUGACGGUACCUAAUCAGAAAGCCACGGCUAACUACGUGCCAGCAGCCGCGGUAAUACGUAGGUGGCAAGCGUUAUCCGGAAUUAUUGGGCGUAAAGCGCGCGUAGGCGGUUUUUUAAGUCUGAUGUGAAAGCCCACGGCUCAACCGUGGAGGGUCAUUGGAAACUGGAAAACUUGAGUGCAGAAGAGGAAAGUGGAAUUCCAUGUGUAGCGGUGAAAUGCGCAGAGAUAUGGAGGAACACCAGUGGCGAAGGCGACUUUCUGGUCUGUAACUGACGCUGAUGUGCGAAAGCGUGGGGAUCAAACAGGAUUAGAUACCCUGGUAGUCCACGCCGUAAACGAUGAGUGCUAAGUGUUAGGGGUUUCCGCCCCUUAGUGCUGCAGCUAACGCAUUAAGCACUCCGCCUGGGGAGUACGACCGCAAGGUUGAAACUCAAAGGAAUUGACGGGGACCCGCACAAGCGGUGGAGCAUGUGGUUUAUUCGAAAGCAACGCGAAGAACUUAACUAAAUCUUGGACAGUCCUCUGACCCCCUCUAGAGAUAUAGUUUUUGCCCUUCCGGGGGACAGAGGUGACAAGGUGGUGCCAUGGAUUGUCGUCAUCUCCAUGUCAUGAGAAAUGUUGGCUUAGGUACCCGCCACCUGAGUCGCCAACCGUAAGCUUAGUGGCAUGCAUAAUUGGUACGUCUAAAUUACUGCGGUGCCAAACUGUAGUAUGUUGGGAAUGAGCUUCACUCAUG